Molecule: ribosomal RNA, 388 nt
Filed under: uncultured bacterium
Lineage: Bacteria
Description: bacterial SSU rRNA
Rfam family: Bacterial small subunit ribosomal RNA
Source: RNAcentral
AUUGAACGCUGGCGGCAUGCCUUACACAUGCAAGUCGAACGGCAGCACGGGAGCAAUCCUGGUGGCGAGUGGCGAACGGGUGAGUAAUAUAUCGGAACGUGCCCAGUCGUGGGGAUAACGUAGCGAAAGUUACGCUAAUACCGCAUACGAUCUAAGGAUGAAAGCGGGGGAUCGCAAGACCUCGCGCGAUUGGAGCGGCCGAUAUCAGAUUAGGUAGUUGGUGGGGUAAAGGCUCACCAAGCCGACGAUCUGUAGCUGGUCUGAGAGGACGACCAGCCACACUGGGACUGAGACACGGCCCAGACUCCUACGGGAGGCAGCAGUGGGGAAUUUUGGACAAUGGGCGCAAGCCUGAUCCAGCAAUGCCGCGUGCAGGAUGAAGGCCUUC